This 205-nucleotide ribosomal RNA is filed under the name uncultured bacterium. RNAcentral's name for it is "partial 16S ribosomal RNA". It matches the Rfam family "Bacterial small subunit ribosomal RNA", at positions 147 to 353 of the family's 1533-position model. The record is from RNAcentral.
GUACUGGAACGGUAGCUAUACCGCAUAACGUCGCAAGACCAAAGAGGGGGGACCUUCGGGCCUCUUGCCAUCGGAUGUGCCCAGAUGGGAUUAGCUAGUAGGUGGGGUAACGGCUCACCUAGGCGACAUCCCCUAGCUGGUCUGAGAGGAUGACCAGCCACACUGGAACUGAGACACGGUCCAGACUCCUACGGGAGGCAGCAUG